This 242-nucleotide ribosomal RNA is filed under the name uncultured soil bacterium. RNAcentral describes it as "partial 16S ribosomal RNA". It matches the Rfam family "Bacterial small subunit ribosomal RNA", at positions 26 to 279 of the family's 1533-position model. The record is from RNAcentral.
AGAUUGAACGCUGGCGGCAUGCCUAACACAUGCAAGUCGAACGGGAGUAGCAAUACUCUAGUGGCGGACGGGUGAGGAAUACGUAGGAAUUUGCCCUUAAGUGGGGGAUAACCCGGGGAAACCCGGAUUAAUACCGCAUGACCUCGAAAGAGCAAAGUGGGGGAUCGCAAGACCUCACGCUUUUGGAGAAGCCUACGUCGGAUUAGCUAGUUGGUAGAGGUAAUGGCUCACCAAGGCGACGA